GACGAACGCUGGCGGCGUGCUUAACACAUGCAAGUCGAACGGAAAGGUCUUUUCGGAGGUACUCGAGUUGCGAACGGGUGGGUAACACGUGGGUGAUCUGCCCUGCACUCUGGGAUAAGCCUGGGAAACUGGGUCUAAUACCGGAGAGGACCGCACUUUAGUGUGUGUGGUGGAAAGUUUUGUCGGUGUAGGAUGAGCCCGCGGCCUAUCAGCUUGUUGGUGGGGUAAUGGCCUACCAAGGCGGCGACGAGUAGCCGGACUGGGGGGUUGGCCAGCAACAGUGAGACUGGGAUACAGCCAAGACUCCGACGGGAGGGAGCGGUGGGGAAAAGUGAUAAAUGGGCGCGAGCCUGAUGCAGAGCCGGCGCGUGGGGGAUGACGGCCUUCGGGUUGUGAUCUCCUUUCGCCAGGGACGAAGCGUUUUGUGACGGUACCGGGAGAAGAAGCACCGGCUAACUACGUG
Molecule: ribosomal RNA, 463 nt
Filed under: uncultured bacterium
Lineage: Bacteria
Description: partial 16S ribosomal RNA
Rfam family: Bacterial small subunit ribosomal RNA
Source: RNAcentral